Molecule: ribosomal RNA, 396 nt
Filed under: uncultured bacterium
Lineage: Bacteria
Description: partial 16S ribosomal RNA
Rfam family: Bacterial small subunit ribosomal RNA
Source: RNAcentral
AUACGUAGGGGGCGAGCGUUGUCCGGAAUGAUUGGGCGUAAAGGGCGCGUAGGCGGCGCGGUAAGUCUGGAGUGAAAGUCCUGCUUUCAAGGUGGGAAUUGCUUUGGAUACUGCCGCGCUUGAGUGCAGGAGAGGUUAUCGGAAUUCCCGGUGUAGCGGUGAAAUGCGGAGAGAUCGGGAGGAACACCAGUGGCGAAGGCGGGGAGCUGGACUGCAACUGACUCUGAGGCGCGAAAGUGUGGGGAGCAAACAGGAUUAGAUACCCUGGUAGUCCACGCUGUAAACGAUGAUUACUAGGAGUGGGGGGACUGACCCCUUCCGUGCCGCAGUUAACACAAUAAGUAUUCCGCCUGGGGAGUACGGCCGCAAGGUUGAAACUCAAAUGAAUGGGCGGGG